UACGUAGGGGCCAAGCGUUGUCCGGAAUUAUUGGGCGUAAAGAGCUCGUAGGCGGUGUGUCGCGUCGGCCGUGAAAACCUGCAGCUUAACUGUGGGCUUGCGGUCGAUACGGGCAGGCUAGAGUUCGGUAGGGGAGACUGGAAUUCCUGGUGUAGCGGUGAAAUGCGCAGAUAUCAGGAGGAACACCGGUGGCGAAGGCGGGUCUCUGGGCCGAUACUGACGCUGAGGAGCGAAAGCGUGGGGAGCGAACAGG
This 253-nucleotide ribosomal RNA is filed under the name uncultured bacterium. RNAcentral's name for it is "partial 16S ribosomal RNA". It matches the Rfam family "Bacterial small subunit ribosomal RNA", at positions 524 to 776 of the family's 1533-position model. The record is from RNAcentral.